GAAGCUGUGCUUGCACAGCCUAGCCAAGGCGGACGGGUGAGUAACGCGUAAGGAACUUGCCCUGCAGUCAGGGAUAACAGACGGAAACGACUGAUAAGACCUGGUAAAGUCAGGCGGACUCAUGUCCAGCCUGAUGAAAAGAGAUGCUGCAGGAGAGCCUUGCGUCCUAUUAGCUUGUUGGUGGGGUAACGGCCCACCAAGGCGAUGAUAGGUAGCCGGCCUGAAAGGGUGGACGGCCACAAGGGGACUGAGAUACGGCCCUUACUCCUACGGGAGGCAGCAGUGGGGAAUAUUGGACAAUGGGGGCAACCCUGAUCCAGCAAUUCUGUGUGCACGAUGAAGGUUUUCGGAUUGUAAAGUGCUUUCAGCAGGGAAGAAAAAAUGACGGUACCUGCAGAAGAAGCGACGGCUAAAUACGUGCCGGCAGCCGCGGUAAUACGUAUGUCGCAAGCGUUAUCCGGAAUUAUUGGGCAUAAAGGGCAUCUAGGCGGCCAGAUAAGUCUGGGGUGAAAACUUGCGGCUCAACCGCAAGCCUGCCCUGGAAACUAUGUGGCUAGAGUACUGGAGAGGUGGACGGAACUGCACGAGUAGAGGUGAAAUUCGUAGAUAUGUGCAGGAAUGCCGAUGAUGAAGAUAGUUCACUGGACGGUAACUGACGCUGAAGUGCGAAAGCUAGGGGAGCAAACAGGAUUAGAUANCCUGGUAGUCCUAGCUGUAAACGAUGAUUACUGGGUGUGGGCAUGAAGAGUGUCCGUGCCGA
This 760-nucleotide ribosomal RNA is filed under the name uncultured Leptotrichia sp. RNAcentral describes it as "bacterial SSU rRNA". It matches the Rfam family "Bacterial small subunit ribosomal RNA", at positions 70 to 849 of the family's 1533-position model. The record is from RNAcentral. Lineage: Bacteria; Fusobacteriati; Fusobacteriota; Fusobacteriia; Fusobacteriales; Leptotrichiaceae.